UGUUCCUUCAGAAGAGAUUAA
Non-coding RNA from Caenorhabditis elegans, 21 nucleotides. Lineage: Eukaryota; Metazoa; Nematoda; Chromadorea; Rhabditida; Rhabditidae. The record is from Ensembl.